This 305-nucleotide ribosomal RNA is filed under the name uncultured bacterium. Its description in RNAcentral is "partial 16S ribosomal RNA". It matches the Rfam family "Bacterial small subunit ribosomal RNA", at positions 505 to 807 of the family's 1533-position model. The record is from RNAcentral.
ACAGCAGCAGCCGCGGUAAUACGUAGGGUGCGAGCGUUAAUCGGAAUUACUGGGCGUAAAGCGAGCGCAGACGGUUACUUAAGCAGGAUGUGAAAUCCCCGGGCUCAACCUGGGAACUGCGUUCUGAACUGGGUGACUAGAGUGUGUCAGAGGGAGGUAGAAUUCCACGUGUAGCAGUGAAAUGCGUAGAGAUGUGGAGGAAUACCGAUGGCGAAGGCAGCCUCCUGGGAUAACACUGACGUUCAUGCUCGAAAGCGUGGGUAGCAAACAGGAUUAGAUACCCCUGUAGUCCCUGUCUCUUAUAC